ACAGAAUUAAACCCCAAACAUCCCUCCCCUCCCCAGGGUUAAAAACCCAGCUGGGAAUCCUCUCCAAAUCCCAAAUCCUGAAUUCCAGGAUCCAAACCCCUGCGGGAUCCUCGGCACCGAGCCAAGAUCCGGCUCCACAAGGGUCUCCCGGAGAGGAGAAAACCCCGGGAUCCACCGGAUCCCGGGAAUGAAGAGGACGAGGGAUUCCUCAAGGGUCCACCCCUGGAUCUGCUGGCUCCGGCCGCUCUCCCGGAUCAGCCGGACGCUCUCACGGCCUCUCCGGAGCUGAGAGCCGGGAACGGGAACAGCCUGGAAUUCCUGUCCCAUCCCUGGGGCUGCGGCUGCUCCUUCUGCUCCGAGCCGGCGCUGCUGGAGCUGGGGCUGCGCUGGCUCCUGGCGCGGGCUCGGCACCGCGUCCUGGCCGGGAGCGCCGCCACCGGAGCCGCCCUGGCGCGGAAAGUGCUGGAACGCUGCGGGAGCGCCGGGAAACGGCUGGAGUGGGAGCUGGACAGGGCUGGGAUGGCGGGGAGCGGCGGGAAUGACGGCGGGAGUAACGGGAAUGACAACGGGAAUAACGGCAGGAAUAACGGGAAUGACAAUGGGAAUAACGGCAGGAAUGACAGGGGGAAUAACGGGAAUGACAGCGGGAAUAACGGCAGGAAUGACAGGGGGAAUAACGGGAAUGACAAUGGGAAUAACGGGGGGAAUAACGGGAAUGACAACAGGAAUAACAGCAGGAAUAACAGGAAUGACAAUGGGAAUAACGGCAGGAAUGACGGCAGGAAUGACGGCAGGAAUAAUGGGGGGAACAAUGGGAAUAACGGGGGGAAUGAUGGGAACAGUGGGAUUGAGAGCAGUGGGAAUGAGGGGAACACUGGGAAUGAGGGAAACAAUGGGAUUGGAGGGAACAUUGGAACUGGGAACAAUGGGAAUGAGAGCCGUGGGAAUGGAGGGAAGAAUGGGAUUGGGGACAUUGUCAAGGAUAGGGGAAUUCCUGGGAAUAAUGGGGACACCAUCAGGGAUGGGGACAGGAAUCUGCAGGAUCCCCCUGGGAAUAGUGGGAACAUCUUUGGGAUCAGGGACCUGCAGGAUCCCUCUGGCAAUGGGAACGACUUUGGGAUCAGGGAUCCCCCUGGGAAUGGGAACAGUUUUGGGAUCAGGAACCCGCAGGAUCCCUCUGGCAAUGGGAAGAGUUUUGAGAUCAGGGACACCUUUGGGAUCAGGGACCUGCGGGAUCCCCCUGGGGAUGGGAACAGUUUUGGGAUCAGGGACCCCCCUGUGGAUGGGAACAGUUCUGGGCUCAGGGACCCCUCUGGGCUCAGUCCCCCCCUGGGCCCGCUGGCCGAGCUGGUGGCCAUCGCCUACUCCACGCUGGCCCUGCGGGGGCUGCUGGGCCCAUCCCACCUGGGUCUGCUUUGGGAUGAGGAGCUGGAGCGGGGUCUGACCCUCCUGGCGUCCCAAAGCGCCCCCGUGGCCGGGCUGGCCGUGGCCGUGGCCACUCUGCUGCUGGCCAAAGCCUUGGCCACCCUCGGCCGCGUGGCUACCGCCCUCGGCCGCUCCGUCAGCGACGUCCUGGCCCAAAGCUGGACCCCCCGACCCCCAGCCAGCCCCAAAGAACCCCAAAAAACCCCCAAAGCUCCCCCCAAGAAAACCAAACCCCCCAAAGGCAAGGUGGGGAAGACCCCGAAAGCGAAGCCCCCCGGGUUUGGGGAGGUUUUCUCGCUGGGGGAUUCGGACAGCGAGGUCCCCCCCAUUGUCCUGCGGCCGGGGGGACCCUGCACCCCACACCCCAAAUCGGGGGCGCCCCCAAAAACGCUGCUGGGGGGGCCCAGGACCCCCUUCAGCAUCUUCAGCGAGGAGCCCUCCCCCAGCCUGGGCCGCUCCCGGCUCCGCAGGGCCCCCAAAAUCCCGGGAAGGGUCAAGUCCCGGAUCAGGGUGAGUCUGGGGGGGAAUUUGGGGAGGGGAAUUUGGGGAGGGGGAAAGUUUGGGGAGGGGAAUUUGGGGAUGGGAAAUUGGGGAUGGGAAUUUGGGGAGGGAAAUUUGGGAGGGAAAUUGGGAGGGGAAUUUGGG
Molecule: long non-coding RNA, 2070 nt
Organism: Parus major (Great Tit)
Lineage: Eukaryota; Metazoa; Chordata; Aves; Passeriformes; Paridae
Source: Ensembl